CCUACGGGCGGCAGCAGUGGGGAAUAUUGCACAAUGGGGGAAACCCUGAUGCAGCGACGCCGCGUGAGUGAAGAAGUAUUUCGGUAUGUAAAGCUCUAUCAGCAGGGAAGAAAAUGACGGUACCCGAUUAAGAAGCCCCGGCUAACUACGUGCCAGCAGGCGCGGUACUACGUAGGGGGCAAGCGUUAUCCGGAUUUACUGGGUGUAAAGGGAGCGUAGACGGCAGCACAAGUCUGGAGUGAAAUGCCGGGGCUUAACCCCGGAACUGCUUUGGAAACUGUGCAGCUAGAGUGCAGGAGAGGUAAGUGGAAUGCCUGGUGUAGCGGUGAAAUGCGUAGAUAUUAGGAGGAACACCAGUGGCGAAGGCAGCUUACUGGACUGUAACUGACGUUGAGGCUCGAAAGCGUGGGGAGCAAACAGGAUUAGAUACCCCUGUAGUC
This 440-nucleotide ribosomal RNA is filed under the name uncultured bacterium. Its description in RNAcentral is "partial 16S ribosomal RNA". It matches the Rfam family "Bacterial small subunit ribosomal RNA", at positions 338 to 795 of the family's 1533-position model. The record is from RNAcentral.